This 497-nucleotide ribosomal RNA is filed under the name uncultured bacterium. RNAcentral describes it as "partial 16S ribosomal RNA". It matches the Rfam family "Bacterial small subunit ribosomal RNA", at positions 28 to 507 of the family's 1533-position model. The record is from RNAcentral.
GACGAACGCUGGCGGCGUGCCUAAUACAUGCAAGUUGAGCGCUGAAGGUUGGUACUUGUACCGACUGGAUGAGCAGCGAACGGGUGAGUAACGCGUGGGGAAUCUGCCUUUGAGCGGGGGACAACAUUUGGAAACGAAUGCUAAUACCGCAUAAAAACUUUAAACACAAGUUUUAAGUUUGAAAGAUGCAAUUGCAUCACUCAAAGAUGAUCCCGCGUUGUAUUAGCUAGUUGGUGAGGUAAAGGCUCACCAAGGCGAUGAUACAUAGCCGACCUGAGAGGGGGAUCGGCCACAAUGGGACUGAGACACGGGCCAAACUCCUACGGGAGGGAGCAGUAGGGAAUCUUCGGCAAUGGACGAAAGUCUGACCGAGCAACGCCGCGUGAGUGAAGAAGGUUUUCGGAUCGUAAAAACCUGUUUGUAGGGAAGAACGUUGGUGGGAGGGGAAAGCGCAUCAAGUGACGGUAACUACCCAGAAAGGGACGGCUAACUACGUG